This 600-nucleotide ribosomal RNA is filed under the name Corynebacterium pseudotuberculosis. RNAcentral's name for it is "bacterial SSU rRNA". It matches the Rfam family "Bacterial small subunit ribosomal RNA", at positions 674 to 1275 of the family's 1533-position model. The record is from RNAcentral. Lineage: Bacteria; Bacillati; Actinomycetota; Actinomycetes; Mycobacteriales; Corynebacteriaceae.
UGUACGGUGGAAUGCGCAGAUAUCAGGAGGAACACCGAUGGCGAAGGCAGGUCUCUGGGCAGUAACUGACGCUGAGGAGCGAAAGCAUGGGGAGCGAACAGGAUUAGAUACCCUGGUAGUCCAUGCCGUAAACGGUGGGCGCUAGGUGUGAGGGUCUUCCACGACUUUCGUGCCGUAGCUAACGCAUUAAGCGCCCCGCCUGGGGAGUACGGCCGCAAGGCUAAAACUCAAAGGAAUUGACGGGGGCCCGCACAAGCGGCGGAGCAUGUGGAUUAAUUCGAUGCAACGCGAAGAACCUUACCUGGGCUUGACAUAUACAAGAUCGGCGUAGAGAUACGUUUUCCCUUGUGGUUUGUAUACAGGUGGUGCAUGGUUGUCGUCAGCUCGUGUCGUGAGAUGUUGGGUUAAGUCCCGCAACGAGCGCAACCCUUGUCUUAUGUUGCCAGCACGUGAUGGUGGGGACUCAUGAGAGACUGCCGGGGUUAACUCGGAGGAAGGUGGGGAUGACGUCAAAUCAUCAUGCCCCUUAUGUCCAGGGCUUCACACAUGCUACAAUGGUCGGUACAACGCGUUGCGAGCCUGUGAGGCGGAGCGAAUCCC